UACGUAGGGGGCAAGCGUUGUCCGGAUUUAUUGGGCGUAAAGAGCGUGUAGGCGGCCAUGUAGGUCCGGUGUGAAAACUCGAGGCUUAACCUCGAGAUGUCAUCGGAAACCAUUUGGCUAGAGUCCGGAAGAGGAGAGUGGAAUUCCUGGUGUAGCGGUGAAAUGCGCAGAUAUCAGGAAGAACACCAAUGGCGAAAGCAGCUCUCUGGGCCGAUACUGACGCUGAGGAGCGAAAGCGUGGGGAGCGAACAGG
RNAcentral lists this ribosomal RNA (253 nucleotides) under uncultured bacterium. RNAcentral's name for it is "partial 16S ribosomal RNA". It matches the Rfam family "Bacterial small subunit ribosomal RNA", at positions 524 to 776 of the family's 1533-position model. The record is from RNAcentral.